GGCUGGUGCUCUGACCCUGGGGAUUGUAUGCCGGGGUAUUUUUAAAACUGGAGUGGCAUUGGCCUUAUACCCCUUUCGGCAAAGAUGGAGAGAACUCUUCCACCUUCCCCAGAAGUGUCCCAUAGUGAAAGAGCUCUGAGCACACAGCCAGGUACUGUUCUGCUGACCAGCCAGCCUGCUGCCACUCCCAGCCGCCUGCCCUUGCUCCCUCGGCUCCUGGCGCCAUGAUGCGCCUCCCGUCUGCACCCACGCACACCCC
RNAcentral lists this long non-coding RNA (259 nucleotides) under Fukomys damarensis (Damara mole-rat). RNAcentral describes it as "lncRNA (ENSFDAG00000024248.1)". The record is from RNAcentral. Lineage: Eukaryota; Metazoa; Chordata; Mammalia; Rodentia; Bathyergidae.